AAGACUUCCUUGACUACAUCACACACUUUUCUUCUGAGGGCCUUCAGAUGGUCUCUGUUUGCAUCUAGGGUGAAAUUGAGGCACUGAGGAUGGGGUGGAAGUUGCUGUUAAGGUCUUCACCUCCAAUCCUACAGUGACCAGUCCUGGAAUAAGGCAAGGACCUAGGUGUCCUGAAUCACCCUUUGCUUUUUAGGAUUCAUCUUUGUCAGUGCCUUUCUGGGAGAGUGGGCCUGGCUUGGAGAUGUCACUGUGGAUCCAGGAUUUUGCCACUGGGAACUCUCCUGCUAUCAUGUGAAGCAGCAUGGACUAGCCUACAGAGGAUGAGGCCUCAUGGAGCAGACAAGCUGUCUCAGUUGAGGCCCUCAAAACCAAUCAAGCUCCAGCUGAACUGCCAGGUGACUGUAGCUGCAUGAGUGACCCCAGGCAAGAUGAGCAGAAGAGGCCCCAACUGAGCCCAACCCAAAUAGCUGACUCAUGGAAUCAUGAGCAAAUAAAAUGGUUGUUUUAAGCCACUAAGUUUUUAGAUGGUUUGUUACCCAGCAAUACAUAAUUGGUUUAUCAGAUAUCACAGCUAUUUUAUAGAUGAAGAAACUGACUCUCCAAGAAUUUGAUUGACUUGCACAUCAGGACAAGGACUGGGAUGGAAAGAGAAAGCCA
This 657-nucleotide long non-coding RNA is filed under the name Homo sapiens (human). RNAcentral's name for it is "HSALNT0135685". The record is from RNAcentral. Lineage: Eukaryota; Metazoa; Chordata; Mammalia; Primates; Hominidae.